This 774-nucleotide ribosomal RNA is filed under the name uncultured Neocallimastigales. Its description in RNAcentral is "partial large subunit ribosomal RNA". It matches the Rfam family "Eukaryotic large subunit ribosomal RNA", at positions 22 to 634 of the family's 3401-position model. The record is from RNAcentral. Lineage: Eukaryota; Fungi; Neocallimastigomycota; Neocallimastigomycetes; Neocallimastigales.
GUACACGCUGUGACUAGCAUAUCAAUAAGCGGAGGAAAAGAAACUAACAAGGAUUCCCUUAGUAACGGCGAGUGAAGCGGGAAGAGCUCAAAUUUGAAAUCUUCAAGGUUUUACCUUGACGAAUUGUAGUUUAAAGAAGUGUUUUCUGUUGAAGUUUUGGUAAAAGUUCUUUGGAAUAGGACAUCAUAGAGGGUGAGAAUCCCGUAUUUGACCAUUAUUUUCAGCUAUGUGAUACACUUUCAACGAGUCGGAUUGUUUGGGAAUGCAGUCCAAAAUGGGUGGUAAAUUUCAUCUAAAGCUAAAUAUUGGCGAGAGACCGAUAGCGAACAAGUACCGUGAGGGAAAGAUGAAAAGAACUUUGAAAAGAGAGUUAAACAGUACGUGAAAUUGUCAAAAGGGAAGCGUUUGACACCAGUGUUGUUUUUCCGAAAAUCAAUUACGAAUGUUUUAUUUUUGAGGAGUUAUGACUUCAUCGGCUUGCUCCUUUCUUUAUGAAACUCUCUUAAUGCACUUUUCGGUUAACAAGUCAACAUCAAUUUCUUUUGUUGUAAAAGGGUAUGAGGAAGGUGGCUUUCUUUUCGGAGAAAGUGUUUAUAGCCUUGUGCCUCUGCAAUCGGAGAGAUUGAGGUCUGCAGCGUAGAUCCUUCGGGGUUAGAUACGUUUGUGCUAAGUUAUAGCUUUUCAUAGACAACUUGUUGACUAUGUUUAGUCUUGUAGCUUACUCGCUUACGCUAUUUUACCUACGCUUAGGAUGUUGAAGACUCUACAGAGAUA